Molecule: ribosomal RNA, 292 nt
Filed under: uncultured bacterium
Lineage: Bacteria
Description: partial 16S ribosomal RNA
Rfam family: Bacterial small subunit ribosomal RNA
Source: RNAcentral
GUGCCAGCCGCCGCGGUAAAACGUAGGUCACGAGCGUUAUCCGGAUUUACUGGGCGUAAAGCGCGUGUAGGCGGUCAGGUAAGUCGGGCGUGAAAUCUCUCGGCUCAACCGGGAGGGGUCGUCCGAAACUACCAGACUAGAGGGCAGUAGAGGGAGGUGGAAUUCCCGGUGUAGUGGUGAAAUGCGUAGAGAUCGGGAGGAACACCUGUGGCGAAGGCGGCCUCCUGGGCUGCCCCUGACGCUCAGACGCGAAAGCUAGGGGAGCGAACGGGAUUAGAUACCCCCGUAGUCC